UCUCAAUCUCUCUUUGUAGUUCUCAAUCUCUCUCUUUGUAGGGAAUUUUAGGGCUUUUUCUGUAGAGUUUUCAUCACCUGAUGCACAGAAGAAGGUUAGAGAUGGUUGGAGAAGAAGAUUGUGGUCUCUAUGGUUAUGGAGGAGGUGAAAGAGGGCACCACUUUUGGUUUUCAAUGGAUCAAAGAUCACGGUAGAAAAACCAACUGCCCCAAUAAAUAGAGUGGAGUCUUGGGCCAACCCAUUUUCUCACUCAAAAAAAACAAUCGCAGCAAUGUUUAAUCUGAAUUGUUUGAGUUGUAGCGAUUCACCUAGAAAAAUCACAAUAUAGAGAGAGAUUGAGACAUACGAACCCAAAAAAAAAGAGAUACAGAGAGAGAUUGAGAAAUGCCUUACAGAAAUACCUACCCCCAAUAAAAAUAAGACAUAAAGAUACAAAUAUAGAGAGAUUGAGAAAUACAGAGAGAGAUUCACAGAUAGAGAGAUUGAGAAAUACAUAGAUAUAGCAUACCUAAUUUUUGUUCUUCAACCUUUCUCUAAGACCUUGUGACCUUGUGAGAGAGAAAGAUGUGUUCUUGGCAGUAAUGUCUCUUUUUUAUUUUCGUGGACCCAUUAUUCUUCACAAAGAGAUGAGAUUCUUCACAAAAAGAUGAGAGGACACCAGUGGGAUAGGGAGAGGGAGAGAAAAAGGGCCGAGGACGAGAGCAGCAACAAAGCGGGAGUUUUUGAGAAAAAAAUAACCCGCAGGGUUAGCCAGUGAAACUUUUUUUUAUCCCAAGAUUGAAAAGUAUAUCUAAGAUGAUCCAUAGGAGUCCUAUACAAGAAAGUGGGGCAGGAUCCCAUAGGAUCAUUACUCAUAUAAGAUUGCUUAAGUUCUCUAUGUAAAAUUCUUCAUUCUUUUGUAAACCAUGGCAUAAGCAGCUCUUCAUAGAAUAAUUUGUAGUCUGAUGUAGGCCUUAUCAAUAGCAUGGAGGGAGAAACUCUUUUUGUUCUUCCAUGUUUAAUAUAAUCCACUUUGUAUGUAAUUUGAAG
This 1029-nucleotide long non-coding RNA is filed under the name Amborella trichopoda. RNAcentral's name for it is "long non-coding RNA (ATRI_LNC004429)". Lineage: Eukaryota; Viridiplantae; Streptophyta; Magnoliopsida; Amborellales; Amborellaceae. The record is from RNAcentral.